GGGGAAUAUUGGACAAUGGGGGGAACCCUGAUCCAGCCAUGCCGCGUGUGUGAAGAAGGCCUUUUGGUUGUAAAGCACUUUAAGCGAGGAGGAGGCGCCCUAGAUUAAUACUCUAGGAGCGUGGACGUUACUCGCAGAAUAAGCACCGGCUAACUCUGUGCCAGCAGCCGCGGUAAUACAGAGGGUGCGAGCGUUAAUCGGAUUUACUGGGCGUAAAGCGUACGUAGGCGGCUUUUUAAGUCGGAUGUGAAAUCCCUGAGCUUAACUUAGGAAUUGCAUUCGAUACUGGGAAGCUAGAGUAUGGGAGAGGAUGGUAGAAUUCCAGGUGUAGCGGUGAAAUGCGUAGAGAUCUGGAGGAAUACCGAUGGCGAAGGCAGCCAUCUGGCCUAAUACUGACGCUGAGGUACGAAAGCAUGGGGAGCAAAC
RNAcentral lists this ribosomal RNA (426 nucleotides) under uncultured bacterium. RNAcentral describes it as "bacterial SSU rRNA". It matches the Rfam family "Bacterial small subunit ribosomal RNA", at positions 356 to 773 of the family's 1533-position model. The record is from RNAcentral.